ACGGAUAGUUUACAACAGUUUAUGAUGAGUUUAUUCAUUGGCACACAAGAUUGCAUGCCAGCGAGGGGAUCAAAUUCCUGCAAGUGUCAAGGUGCCUUUAGGUUUCUCAGAUAAGAU
Long non-coding RNA from Thalassophryne amazonica, 117 nucleotides. RefSeq lists it as uncharacterized. The transcript is spliced from 3 exons. The record is from RefSeq and is a predicted model, not a curated record. Lineage: Eukaryota; Metazoa; Chordata; Actinopteri; Batrachoidiformes; Batrachoididae.